This 1483-nucleotide ribosomal RNA is filed under the name Enterobacter hormaechei. Its description in RNAcentral is "partial 23S ribosomal RNA". It matches the Rfam family "Bacterial large subunit ribosomal RNA", at positions 1 to 1531 of the family's 2925-position model. Lineage: Bacteria; Pseudomonadati; Pseudomonadota; Gammaproteobacteria; Enterobacterales; Enterobacteriaceae. The record is from RNAcentral.
GGUUAAGCGACUAAGCGUACACGGUGGAUGCCCUGGCAGUCAGAGGCGAUGAAGGACGUGCUAAUCUGCGAAAAGCGCCGGCGAGGUGAUAUGAACCUUUGACCCGGCGAUGUCCGAAUGGGGAAACCCAGUGUGAUUCGUCACACUAUCGUUAACUGAAUACAUAGGUUAACGAGGCGAACCGGGGGAACUGAAACAUCUAAGUACCCCGAGGAAAAGAAAUCAACCGAGAUUCCCCCAGUAGCGGCGAGCGAACGGGGAGCAGCCCGGAGUCUGAAUCAGCUUGUGUGUUAGUGGAACGGUCUGGAAAGUCCGACGGUACAGGGUGAUAGUCCCGUACACGAAAACACACUUGCUGUGAACUCGAAGAGUAGGGCGGGACACGUGGUAUCCUGUCUGAAUAUGGGGGGACCAUCCUCCAAGGCUAAAUACUCCUGACUGACCGAUAGUGAACCAGUACCGUGAGGGAAAGGCGAAAAGAACCCCGGCGAGGGGAGUGAAAAAGAACCUGAAACCGUGUACGUACAAGCAGUGGGAGCCUCUUUAUGGGGUGACUGCGUACCUUUUGUAUAAUGGGUCAGCGACUUAUAUUCUGUAGCAAGGUUAACCGUAUAGGGGAGCCGAAGGGAAACCGAGUCUUAACUGGGCGUUAAGUUGCAGGGUAUAGACCCGAAACCCGGUGAUCUAGCCAUGGGCAGGUUGAAGGUUGGGUAACACUAACUGGAGGACCGAACCGACUAAUGUUGAAAAAUUAGCGGAUGACCUGUGGCUGGGGGUGAAAGGCCAAUCAAACCGGGAGAUAGCUGGUUCUCCCCGAAAGCUAUUUAGGUAGCGCCUCGUGAACUCAUCUUCGGGGGUAGAGCACUGUUUCGGCUAGGGGGCCAUCCCGGCUUACCAACCCGAUGCAAACUACGAAUACCGAAGAAUGUUAUCACGGGAGACACACGGCGGGUGCUAACGUCCGUCGUGAAGAGGGAAACAACCCAGACCGCCAGCUAAGGUCCCAAAGUCAUGGUUAAGUGGGAAACGAUGUGGGAAGGCACAGACAGCCAGGAUGUUGGCUUAGAAGCAGCCAUCAUUUAAAGAAAGCGUAAUAGCUCACUGGUCGAGUCGGCCUGCGCGGAAGAUGUAACGGGGCUAAACCAUGCACCGAAGCUGCGGCAGCGACACUAUGUGUUGUUGGGUAGGGGAGCGUUCUGUAAGCCGUUGAAGGUGUGCUGUGAGGCAUGCUGGAGGUAUCAGAAGUGCGAAUGCUGACAUAAGUAACGAUAAAGCGGGUGAAAAGCCCGCUCGCCGGAAGACCAAGGGUUCCUGUCCAACGUUAAUCGGGGCAGGGUGAGUCGACCCCUAAGGCGAGGCCGAAAGGCGUAGUCGAUGGGAAACAGGUUAAUAUUCCUGUACUUGGUGUUACUGCGAAGGGGGGACGGAGAAGGCUAUGUCAGCCGGGCGACGGUUGUCCCGGUUUAAGCAUGUAGGCGGAGGU